UACAGAGAGUGCAAACGUUGUUCGGAAUCACUGGGCUUAAAGAGCACGUAGGCGGCAUCGUAAGUGUCGGGUGAAAUCCCACGGCUCACCCGUGGAACUGCCCGGCAGACUGCGAUGCUUGAGUGUGGUAGGGGAAAGCGGAACUCCUGGUGGAGCGGUGAAAUGCGUAGAUAUCAGGAGGAACACCGGUGGCGAAGGCGGCUUUCUGGUCCACAACUGACGCUGAGGUGCGAAAGCUAGGGGAGCAAAC
This 250-nucleotide ribosomal RNA is filed under the name uncultured bacterium. RNAcentral describes it as "partial 16S ribosomal RNA". It matches the Rfam family "Bacterial small subunit ribosomal RNA", at positions 524 to 773 of the family's 1533-position model. The record is from RNAcentral.